CCUACGGGAGACAGCAGUGAGGAAUAUUGGUCAAUGGCCGUAAGUCUGAACCAGCCAAGUCGCGUGAAGGAAGACGGCUCUAUGGUUUGUAAACUUCUUUUAUAGGGGAAUAAAUGUCUCCACGUGUGUAUAUUUGCAUGUACCCUAUGAAUAAGCAUCGGCUAACUCCGUGCCAGCAGCCGCGGUAAUACGGAGGAUGCGAGCGUUAUCCGGAUUUAUUGGGUUUAAAGGGUGCGUAGGUUGUUUUUUAAGUCAGCGGUGAAAGGUUGUGGCUCAACCAUAAAAAUGCCGUUGAAACUGGAAGGCUUGGGUGUGGUUUAGGUAAGCGGAAUGCGUGGGGUAGCGGUGAAAUGCAUAGAUA
This 361-nucleotide ribosomal RNA is filed under the name uncultured bacterium. RNAcentral describes it as "partial 16S ribosomal RNA". It matches the Rfam family "Bacterial small subunit ribosomal RNA", at positions 338 to 696 of the family's 1533-position model. The record is from RNAcentral.